GUUUUACCCCCUGCUCCUCUGGUCACCCUCCCUAUGGAUCCCUGCAGUGCCAGGCAGGAAUGGCCUGCUAGGGGAUGCAGCAAGCUCCCAGGGCCUUUCUGCUGCUUCUUCUACCCCUGUAUUUCACUCAGCUCUCUAAAUUGACUCAGCUGCAGUUCCCAUGAGCAUGAGAGAAGAAGCAAUGCACGCUCCGGCAGAUUCCUAGGAACCAAAUACCUCUGAGGAGCACCAGAUUUCAGCUUAUGGGAUGCUUUGAUUGCUCUGUGGCUGCAUUUAGGAGAAGGAAGCUGCAGUCAUGCGUCAUCACUGCCAGCCUCACAUCUCUUGACAGUUAAAGCCUUAGGGUGGAGCAAGGGAAAAUUUAAAAUAACAAAUGAAGCAAAAGCAAGAGGUGAUGUUCCAAAGCAGAGGAAGGCUAAGUUUAUAUAUACAAAUGUCAAGUGUGUAUAGUGCAAAACUAGGACCAGUUGGUGGAAUCUGUGGUCAAAAACAAAAGCCUUCCUUUUUUUUUUUUCAAGGUAAGCAUCUUGCUCUGUCACCCAGGCUGGAGUGCAGUGGCUUCAUCUCUGCUCACUGCAACCUCCACCAUCUCCUGGGCUCAAGCCAUCCUUCCACCUCAGCCUUCCGAGUAGCUGAGACCACAGCCAUGGGUUACAAUGCCUCAGAUAACAAACAUUACUUUUUUUGAUAGGAUGGGGUUUCUCCAUGUUGCCCCUGCUGGUCUCAAACUCCUGGGCUCAUACAAUCCCAAAGUGCUGAGAUUAUAGGCAUAAGCCAUUGCACUGGGCAGGACAAUUUUUUUUUUUAAAUUAAAACUAGAACUUCUUAUUGAGGGAAAUACGACCAUGUAUUUUAAAUUGUAAAAAACAGUUCUGCAUGUGAUCUUCAUAUAGAAAACAUUAAUAUAUUUUCUGUAUAAAAAGAAGGGAGGAAUAAAAGAUUUGAGCUGAUGACCUUUCAACAUACAAAGUCUACAAGCUUUUUAUUUAAAGCCAUUGUUUGUAUGUUAAAUUUUACAAUAAUUGAGAUAAUUAUAGAUACUUUAGUAGUUGGAAAUGAGUCAGAAAUACAUGCAUGGUCUACAUGUUGGAAAUAAUUUUGUUAUACUAAGGUAGACCCACUAGGGUACUAUAGCAUGUGCAGUGGAGAAAUGACCCUAGCAAGUUGUCAAAAGUCACUAGGGGCUCAAAGUUGUAGGGCAUUAGGACCUAGUGUUCAUAGUUACAGAGAACAUUUUAGCUCUAUUAUGUAGUAUCCUAUAGCUGCCCAUUAUUCAAGGAGGGCAAUUGUCAGUCACUCCCCUUGGGAAUCCUUCUGAAUAUAGGAUUUUUCUGUUAGAGAAACUCUGCUAUGUACCUCUAUUUAUACAAGUAUUUAUAUGUAAGCGGAUUUCUAAAAUGGUUGACAUCUAAAAGUUAAAUUCUGCACUUGUUAUACCCAUCUUGACUGGAUUUAUCUUGAAAUGAAAGUAUACUUGAUUUAAGGCAAUGCCAGAGAAGUAUUUAAAUGUAGUUUGUUCCAGGAAUACAUUUGUCUCCAACACUCCCUCCCUGCCUCUCCCCCUGCCCCUUGUAGUAGAACUACUAGAUCAUAUUACCAUGCAGCAAUAUAUAGGUAGAGCAGUAAAAGAUUCUCGCAGGGCCUGAAAGCUUAAGGGAAUGAAUAACUCCUCUCUUCUGAGGCCCAGUCCCAAGACGCAAGACCACUUGCGCCAGCAGCGUGCAUCAGCAAGAUAGCAAAAGCAGGACGAGAGCUGCCCGGAAGACAUCUACCUGGCCAGAAGACACCUACCCUGGCCGGAAGACAUGUACCCCUGAAGAUAGAGAAAGAGGCCAUCGUGUACUACGUAGCAGUCAUGUCAGACUGGGACACUUCCUGUUUACAGAGGACUAUAAAACCCCUGUCCUGUCCUCACUUGGGGCUGACGCCAUCUUAGGCCUCAGCCCGCCUGCAGCCAGGCGUUCGUUAAAACAGCAUGUUGCUCCACACCGCCUUGUAUUGUUUGUUGGUCCCACUCUCUGGGCUCGAACCAAUACAAGCACCUUUCAAGCAGUAUAUUCUUCAGUGUCUUGAUCCUCCAAAUAACUCUCUUCUAAUUCCUCCUGACCACAAAAAGCACUUAUACUCUAGGAUGACUGAUUCCAGCCCAGUGGCCUGGCAAGGGUGAAUUACACCUUGCAUAUCACACUCUUGACAUUUGUGUGCGCUAGCAUAAGAAUUAUAAUUGAAACAGGGAUUUAAGUAUCUCCUCUCUAGGUGCCUACCCUCCUUGGACUCAGGUCAAAUUUAUUAAAGGAAGUUUUGUUUCUAGAUAGGUUGUUUGAAAUAAAAUAACAGAAUGUUCAAGUAACACAGUGUACCUACAGCUUUUAACAAAAUUGAGGACUUGGGUCUCGAAACAAUUUCCUUUGAUUUUCAGGUAUUUUAUCUAUAAAAAGGGAGAUAAAGCAUUAGUUCAUAGGACAGUUAUAUGUUUAAAUGUGAUAAUGUAUAUUAACCACCUUGCAUGUAUUCAAAUGUGUUUUGAAAUCUAACGUCUACAUUUUGAUAGUUUAACUGUUCUACAUAAGUGACUUACAACAGGCAUUAAAUAUUGUUUGGCAUUUUCAUAUAUCUGUAACUGUAUCUUAAUCUACAAUGAGCUUAAUUUUAAGUGUAGCAUAAAACAGAACCUUCAAUAAAGUGGUAAUAUUAGGAAUGAUAUCCAGUUAUCUUAUACACUUAUAAAGUUACCUAUAAAUUCUUACGAAUAUUUUUCUAAAGUAAAAUUUUGAUUUUACUUUAAUUAUAGAUGAGAAGCAACAAAGCAACAUUUAUAACAAUUUAUCCCACUCAGGCAUUUGUUCCCACCAAAUGUGUAUAUUGAUAUACGUACACAUAAAAUAUUCCUGUGUUAGAUUGUCGUCACAUCACUUAUAUAAACUAUUAACCCACUACAAACAAAUUUGUUUUUCAAGUAUUACAGUUGCAUUGAUUUUGAUUUUGAAAAUAUGCAUUCAACUAU
RNAcentral lists this long non-coding RNA (3004 nucleotides) under Homo sapiens (human). RNAcentral describes it as "HSALNT0192859". Lineage: Eukaryota; Metazoa; Chordata; Mammalia; Primates; Hominidae. The record is from RNAcentral.